ACUCCUACGGGAGGCAGCAGUGGGGAAUAUUGCACAAUGGGCGCAAGCCUGAUGCAGCCAUGCCGCGUGUAUGAAGAAGGCCUUCGGGUUGUAAAGUACUUUCAGCAGUGAGGAAGGUGGGUAUGUUAAUAGCAUACUCAUUUGACGUUAGCUGCAGAAGAAGCACCGGCUAACUCCGUGCCAGCAGCCGCGGUAAUACGGAGGGUGCGAGCGUUAAUCGGAAUUACUGGGCGUAAAGCGCAUGCAGGUGGUUUGUUAAGUCAGAUGUGAAAAGCCCCGGGGCUCAACCUCGGAAUUGCAUUUGAAACUGGCAAACUAGAGUACUGUAGAGGGGGUAGAAUUUCAGGUGUAGCGGUGAAAUGCGUAGAGAUCUGAAGGAAUACCGGUGGCGAAGGCGGCCCCCUGGACAGAUACUGACACUCAGAUGCGAAAGCGUGGGGAGCAAACAGGAUUAGAUACCCUGGUAGGCUCU
RNAcentral lists this ribosomal RNA (472 nucleotides) under uncultured bacterium. RNAcentral's name for it is "bacterial SSU rRNA". It matches the Rfam family "Bacterial small subunit ribosomal RNA", at positions 335 to 798 of the family's 1533-position model. The record is from RNAcentral.